Molecule: ribosomal RNA, 603 nt
Filed under: uncultured archaeon
Lineage: Archaea
Description: bacterial SSU rRNA
Rfam family: Archaeal small subunit ribosomal RNA
Source: RNAcentral
GGUGUCUUCGGACGCCGGCAUACGGCUCAGUAACACGUAGGUAACCUACCCUCAGGACUGAGAUAACCCCGGGAAACUGGGGCUAAUAUUAGAUAGAUAAAAGAUACCGGAAUGUUCUUUUAUCCAAAGCUUUUGCGCCUGAGGAUGGGCCUGCGUCCGAUUAGGUUGUUGGUGGGGUAAUGGCCCACCAAGCCUGCGAUCGGUACGGGCAGUGGGAGCUGAAGCCCGGAGUUGGGGACUGAGACAAGGCCCCAGGCCCUACGGGGCGCAGCAGGCGCGAAACCUCUGCAAUGCGGGAAACCGUGACAGGGGGAUCCCAAGUGCUCAUGCAUUGCAUGGGCUGUUCUUUGGUCUAAGUAACCAGAGGAGUAAGGGCUGGGCAAGACCGGUGCCAGCCGCCGCGGUAAUACCGGCAGCUCAAGUGGUAGCCGCGAUUAUUGGGCCUAAAACGUUCGUAGCCGGAUAAGUAAGUCUUUGGUUAAAUCCUGCGACUCAACCGUGGGAAUUCUAGAGAUACUGCUUGUCUUGAGACCGGGAGAGGUUGGAGGUACUCCUAGGGUAGGGGUGAAAUCCUGUAAUCCUAGGGGGACCACCUGUGGCGAA